GAUGAACGCUGGCGGCGUGCCUAAUACAUGCAAGUCGAGCGAACGGACGAGAAGCUUGCUUCUCUGAUGUUAGCGGCGGACGGGUGAGUAACACGUGGAUAACCUACCUAUAAGACUGGGAUAACUUCGGGAAACCGGAGCUAAUACCGGAUAAUAUUUUGAACCGCAUGGUUCAAAAGUGAAAGACGGUCUUGCUGUCACUUAUAGAUGGAUCCGCGCUGCAUUAGCUAGUUGGUAAGGUAACGGCUUACCAAGGCAACGAUGCAUAGCCGACCUGAGAGGGUGGUCGGCCACACUGGAACUGAGACACGGUCCAGACUCCUACGGGAGGCAGCAGUAGGGAAUCUUCCGCAAUGGGCGAAAGCCUGACGGAGCCACGCCGCGUGAGUGAUGAAGGUCUUCGGAUCGUAAAACUCUGUUAUUAGGGAAGAACAUAUGUGUAAGUAACUGUGCACAUCUUGACGGUACCUAAUCAGAAAGCCACGGCUAACUACGUG
RNAcentral lists this ribosomal RNA (497 nucleotides) under uncultured bacterium. Its description in RNAcentral is "partial 16S ribosomal RNA". It matches the Rfam family "Bacterial small subunit ribosomal RNA", at positions 28 to 507 of the family's 1533-position model. The record is from RNAcentral.